RNAcentral lists this ribosomal RNA (253 nucleotides) under uncultured bacterium. RNAcentral's name for it is "partial 16S ribosomal RNA". It matches the Rfam family "Bacterial small subunit ribosomal RNA", at positions 524 to 776 of the family's 1533-position model. The record is from RNAcentral.
UACGUAGGGUGCAAGCGUUGUCCGGAAUUAUUGGGCGUAAAGAGCUCGUAGGCGGUUCGUCACGUCGGCUGUGAAAUCCCGAGGCUCAACCUCGGGUCUGCAGUCGAUACGGGCGGACUGGAGUACUGCAGGGGAGACUGGAAUUCCUGGUGUAGCGGUGAAAUGCGCAGAUAUCAGGAGGAACACCGGUGGCGAAGGCGGGUCUCUGGGCAGUAACUGACGCUGAGGAGCGAAAGCGUGGGGAGCGAACAGG